This 1016-nucleotide long non-coding RNA is filed under the name Oncorhynchus kisutch (coho salmon). RNAcentral's name for it is "lncRNA (ENSOKIG00005026475.1)". The record is from RNAcentral. Lineage: Eukaryota; Metazoa; Chordata; Actinopteri; Salmoniformes; Salmonidae.
GAGGUGGCCACCCCCACAGAGAAGCCAGCAGAACAGCCCACCUCAGCACCUGACAAAAGUCUCGACACCACAGCAGAACAGUCCACACCAGACCCUGACCAUAGAGUCGACAUCACAGCAGAACAGACAAACGAAGAACCACAAGCCCAGCGGCUCUCACCCCCUCUGAACACCCCCCCUGUCAGCCACCCUGAUAGCCCUUCUGACAACCCCCUCACACCCACUGAGUACAAACACAAGACACAGAUUAUACUACUUAUGGACUCAAAUGGGAAAUAUAUAGAAAAAAAAAACAUUUUCACAAACACAGUGUGUCUAAACUCUGGUGUCCAAACACCCAGCGUGCCCUUGACCUUCUGUCUGAGGACCAACUAGGUUCACCCAGCCACAUAAUAAUACACACAGGCACAAACGACCUGAGAGCACAGCAGGAAAGGGUGGCCACAGCACUGAAGGGAGUGAUUGAAAAGGCUUCUUCUACUUUCCCCAACGCACAAGUGGUUAUCUCCACCCUGCUACCACGAAAAGACUUCCACCCUGCCACAAUACAUCGGGUAAACGCAAGUAUUUCCCGUGACUGUGCCUCAAAACCAAAUGUUUUCCUGACCCACCACUCCACCCUGGACUUGAACAGCCUCUAUGACCAGGUCCACCUCUACAAGGUAGCAGUGCCCACCUUUGCCCGGACUCUAAAGGACAUCGCUCUCAAACGUAUCCCCAACACUUCACACAGGAGCAACAGAUCAAUAGACACCCCACCCAGACCAGCGAGACACCCUCCCAGACCUGCAGGACCCCUCCCUGGACCUACACAUAGAGGACCCACGCCAAGAGGAAUUACAUCCAGACCACAGUACACCCAGACACAUCCACACCCCCACCCCAACCAAUCAACACCCCCCCCACGUCAACCAUGCCCACACCCCAUUUAGGCCCCCUCAGAUCAGACCUAUGCCACUCCUGCCCACCCCAUGCACCCCACCCCCGCAAAGAGGGCCUCAACAUGGAAGCCACAC